Molecule: non-coding RNA, 151 nt
Filed under: Partenskyella glossopodia
Lineage: Eukaryota; Cercozoa; Chlorarachniophyceae
Source: RNAcentral
GGGAAAGAAUUAUUUGACGGAUAAGAAAAAGUACCCUUCGAAAGACUCGGCGUUUGAGCUGGUGUGCUGCAAGUGUUUUAAAACUAAGCAACAGAUGCUUCAUGCUGGCAAAGAAGUGGACUCACUAUGCAAAUUUCUCUCGGAUAAUGAG